Molecule: ribosomal RNA, 305 nt
Filed under: uncultured bacterium
Lineage: Bacteria
Description: bacterial SSU rRNA
Rfam family: Bacterial small subunit ribosomal RNA
Source: RNAcentral
GAUGAACGCUAGCUACAGGCUUAACACAUGCAAGUCGAGGGGCAGUCGAUGAACUUAGCUUGCUAAGUUUGAUGGCGACCGGCGCACGGGUGAGUAACACGUAUCCAACCUGCCGAUGACUCGGGGGAUAGCCUUUCGAAAGAAAGAUUAAUACCCGAUGGCAUAAUUCUUCCGCAUGGUAGAAUUAUUAAAGAAUUUCGGUCAUCGAUGGGGAUGCGUUCCAUUAGGUUGUUGGCGGGGUAACGGCCCACCAAGCCUUCGAUGGAUAGGGGGGUUCUGAGAGGAAGGUCCCCCACAUUGGGAAC